GUGGUCUACAAAUGAAGAGUAAUUUUGAAGGAGGCCUCCUGAGAAUGCUGUGACAAGGACUGUGGCAGAUUACAAAUCCAUUGUGUGUUUCCUGGACAGGCUUUACAAAGUAUGAGUUCCAUCACUGAGAAGAUACUUCCAAAAGAGUUAUGAAAUGGAUAUAAUUUGUCUUAUCGGUAGACCUCACCUGGAGGAAAGGGAGAGUAUUGAACAGGACCUUGUCUGCUGAUCAAAGCAAAAUAUGAGCUAAGUGUGACACUCUUCCUCCCUAGUGCAUGGUUGCCGCGUCCCUUGGCUCUGACAUCUUACUGAAUGUUAUUGGGACCCUUCGGAUGUGACUUUAGCACUUUUGGACUCACUGCACCAUCUGUCUAUCCUUCCUGAACCACUUCAGUAAUGUCAGAACGCUGAGAUUGUGGGCUGGCUUCUGGCACUUCUCAAGCUAGUGCUGAGUGACUGAUUGCUCUCUGCAACUAAUGAGAAUGUCACCUACCAAUCAUUCAGUUUCUUCUUUUCAAUGGAUGGUGUGUAUAAAAUCUCAGACCAUCAAAGGAGUGAUUGGCAAAUGUGUACCUUGCUUUCUAGCUGGCCA
Long non-coding RNA from Hemicordylus capensis (graceful crag lizard), 592 nucleotides. RefSeq lists it as uncharacterized. The transcript is spliced from 3 exons. The record is from RefSeq and is a predicted model, not a curated record. NCBI's taxonomy places the organism in Eukaryota, Metazoa, Chordata, Lepidosauria, Squamata, Cordylidae.